RNAcentral lists this ribosomal RNA (229 nucleotides) under uncultured bacterium. RNAcentral describes it as "partial 16S ribosomal RNA". It matches the Rfam family "Bacterial small subunit ribosomal RNA", at positions 568 to 796 of the family's 1533-position model. The record is from RNAcentral.
UGCGCAGGCGGAAUAUCAAGUCAGUGGUGAAAUCCUACAGCUCAACUGUAGAACUGCCAUUGAUACUGAUAUUCUUGAGUAUAGUUGUAGUGGGCGGAAUAUGUCAUGUAGCGGUGAAAUGCUUAGAUAUGACAUAGAACACCGAUCGCGAAGGCAGCUCACUAAACUAUAACUGACGCUCAGGCACGAAAGCGUGGGGAGCAAACAGGAUUAGAUACCCUGGUAGUCC